UCAAUCCUUCCCUCCUACUGGAAAAAAGCUUAUAAGAAUGAAAUGAAAAGUCUGACAUUCAGAUGCUGUGCCACUGAAGAGAAGUAUUCUAACACCACAUUAGAAGUAUUCUAAUACAAAGCCCAUCUAAAAUUCUUCUAAACAUUUAAUAAUGCAAAAAUCUUCUUUCUUAGAGGAAAAUAUAUUCAUUGUAAAGACUUUCCCAGGAAAAUAUUAAAAUUGCACCAGGGAAAUCCUAAACCACUUAAUAAUGACAAUAUUCUCAAAACCAAAGUCCAAUCUCAGUACAGACAAGUUACAAACCACAUUCUUUUCUCCUUC
This 321-nucleotide long non-coding RNA is filed under the name Homo sapiens (human). Its description in RNAcentral is "non-protein coding lnc-C1orf43-2:1". Lineage: Eukaryota; Metazoa; Chordata; Mammalia; Primates; Hominidae. The record is from RNAcentral.